RNAcentral lists this ribosomal RNA (319 nucleotides) under Cryptosporidium environmental sequence. Its description in RNAcentral is "SSU rRNA". It matches the Rfam family "Eukaryotic small subunit ribosomal RNA", at positions 733 to 1056 of the family's 1831-position model. Lineage: Eukaryota; Apicomplexa; Conoidasida; Eucoccidiorida; Cryptosporidiidae. The record is from RNAcentral.
CUUUUUAGUAUAGGACCUUUUAUUUUGAGAAAAUUAGAGUGUUUAAACCAGGCUUAUCCUUGAAAUAUUCCGCAUGGAAUAAAUAAUAAGGAUUUUUAUCUUUUUUAUUGGUUUUAGGAUAGAAGUAAUGAUUAAUAGGGACAGUUGGGGGCAUUUGUAUUUAACAGUCAGAGGUGAAAUUCUUAGAUUUGUUAAAGACAAACUAAUGCGAAAGCAUUUGCCAAGGAUGUUUUCAUUAAUCAAGAACGAAAGUUAGGGGAUCGAAGACGAUCAGAUACCGUCGUAGUCUUAAUCAGCACCAAUCUUUUCGGCUUGCCCU